AUGACUCUGGUCUCUGGUUUAGACGGGCGAUUUUAUCGCAUCGUACUGAAUUAUUAUAAAAUUCAAAUUGGCAUAAUACAAAUUGGCAUAAUUCAAAUUGGCUUGUGUUCAAUUGAAUUACAUUUUAAAGGAAUUUUGGUUUUAAACUCGACCAUCUUUAUUUUGAGGUAUAAUUUUUUUGAAUUGCUGAAAAAAUUUCAAUUAUCUUAUUAGAAAAACAUCGCUCUGGUCGCUUUACCACUAACUUGUCCAUGUUAUUAGUUUUGCAGCUUUAAAUUAAUUGUUUUACCGAACUAAAUACAGAGUAUGCUUAAGAGAUCUUUUUUUUUUUAUAAUCAGUUGCAGACACAAUUAAAUUGCUUUAAACGUUUACUUUACUUCAGAUUGCCCAUCAGCAAGGAAAACAAUUUUCAUUGAAAUUUUCAGCAAAUCUUUGGUUCCGCAAUACAAUGUUGAUCCAAACUUCCAUCAUUUUAAAAAAAAAUUCAGGUUGACAAAUGUGGAAUGUAAAACCGAUGUUUGUAAAACCAGUUUUAUUUCUGAAAAUCCCUAAGUUCUGCAAACUAAUCUUUGGACAUAUAUUCUAAUACUUUUUUAGUGAUGCAUCUUCCCUGUAAUUGUAAUUAUGGAUAUAUGGGGUUUUCUUGCUACAUAUGUUUUCCCCCCUUAUAAUCAUGAAGUACGUGUAAGAUCAAUUUAUAUUUUUGCGGGUUCUUAAUUCUUUUAGAAUCAACCUCUGAAAUCAGCGGAGGACUUAUAAUACUCAAUUCAAUAUUUUUCCGAUAGAGCCUGCUUAUCGUCUUUCAGUAGUGUGUACAUUUUUGCCAGAUUUUUUAAUGAAGAUCACGCUUUCCACAAGAAUAAGGAAAGGUAUUCUUUAUCUUUCUUUCUUUUGUUUUUCUAGUGCUAAGCAUUUUUUCUUGGUUACCAGUUUAUCCUGUAACUUUUCCGUCCCCUGAGUGUUAUGAUUUCAGUUGUAUUUAAAAAUCAUUGCAACUUAUUUGAUUAGGUACAGUGUACUGAUUAUUUGUAAAACGCCUUAUUUUAAACAUUUUUGAUACUUGAUUCUUCUUAUUUUUAGGUCAUUGACUGCUAUCUAAAAAAGUGCAAUUAACGUCACUGCCAUUUUUACUUAAUGGUUACUCCAACUGACGGACCUUUUUCCUGAAAUUUGAAAGAUUGUGGCACAUAAUUAUGUAGACAUAUUUGUUUUUACCUGCCCGUUAUGGUACGGCAGUAGUGUAUAAUACUUAAUAUCUGUAAUAAUUAAAUCCUGAUGGUGUAUACUUACAGAGCAGUUGUUCCUUCAAAGGAUAUUGGUACGUUCCUUCCUCAUGUUCACCAUUUGACGUAGAAAGAAUUUUAAAAAUAUUUUUAAUUUAAGUCAUCAUCAUAGUUGCUGACUGUAUGUAACAAGUAAUUUUUAGUCAAUUUUCAAUUUUAUACUUUCAGUGAUAUAAAUUCUAUUUAGCUCAGUAGACUUGCCACAGGUCAAAAGACUGGGAAGCACCUUGCGCUACUUUUACAAUUAAGUUCCAUUUUUCAUUGCCCCAUUCAUUUCCAUGUUUCAUUUUUCUACAUUCCAUCGCCUACUUUCUGCACUCAUCACAUGCCUUCAAAGAAAAGUGGGGCCUUAUUUUUGUAUAUCAUGUAAAUAUUCCUCGAAAAACCACGUCACUCUUGUAAAAAAUGUUUCUUACCUUGUACUAUAAUGUUAUUUAGUUAUUUUUGUUAGUGACCAAGUGUUAAUUCGCCUUAUCUAUUUGAGGUUAGCCAAAUGAUCCAAUAUUCAGUUGAGACUAAUUGUUUCUAAAAUAACAAAGGGAUAGAGCAAAGGUUGCUGGAAUGCAAUGAGGCAUUACUUAUUAGGCUGUUUUUGCGUUGUAAUCUUUACAUCAAUGAAUGGUUUGAGUUCGAUUCAAGUUGAAUCUGGGGUAAAUAGCUUCAUGCACCAGUACCACUUUCAUAAAUGGUUAAUCAUAAAUUGUAUUCGCUUUAUUUUAAAAAAAAAUCAGAUCGAUAGGAAAUAGAUAUAUGCCUCAAAAGCACAUGACUCAAUUUUGAAGUGAAUUGGCCUACAAAAUUAAGUCCGAAGUUCGGUAGAGAAAACGGAAUCAAUGGAUUGUCUUAAUUGAUCAGUGAAAUUUAAAUGGCCUUCCCUUGACUUUAUUUUUGGUUCAUUAACUUCAAAAUUUAAUCAUAUACCCUCGAGAAAUGGAUUUCAAUUCGAUUUUGUAAAAUCAUCCCGAAUAGAAUUUAUAAACAGUCUUAAUUUAUGUGGUGGCAUUACCAGGAACCAUGUACCCUAGAUUCACAUUGAUUUUUGUUGAAAGAGAAUCAUCUUUCAUGUUUUUCUUUAAGUUUGUCUGCUGGUGAUAGCAAUGCUUUGUGAUAUUCGUUGAUCAGUUCAAAAAUUAUGAUUUUUAUAGCUAAAUGUAGUAUGAAUGAACGAACUUUUGCUCCUCUACCUUACGGUAUACUUACCUACUGUAUCCCUUUUUCCAUCUUCAUAAUAGUCAUAUUUUUCUUAAACUGAAUGCUUUAGAUUCUUCUAAAAAAUGUAUUUUCUUAAGAACUGUGAUAUUCAUUUUUAUAUUUUCCAAGUCUUGAUUACCUUUUAGCAGCUAUUUUUUAAACCUUCGAUGACUCAUUUGAUUUUAGCACACAAAAUGUUUCUACUCAUUGAGCUGGCAAUUUGCCAAGGUCAGAGAACAAUGUAUGGGAUACGUUCCUUAUAACUAUUCAAAGUUUGAAUUUAAUCAAACAUUUACCCAACUGAAAUAUUGAUCCAGAAACCAGAUUUUAAAAGCAUUGUGUACCUAGAGUGACACUUGACUUCCUCUCUUUCUCAGAGGAGCUUAGAAUCUCAGAAAUCAGAGUUACAGCACUUACUUACUCCGUUAUUUUUACUCUGGAGCAAUUUCCUUUACCUUUUUGACUAUCUUCUGUACGUAUUCAUCACUUUUCCUUUGCUUUGACUCAUGUUGUCCAUCCUAGUUAGGAACUCAUAAUUCUAAAGCAAUUGUUACUAAUUGUGUGUUAUACAGUGCUCUCUCCUUGCAGCGAAUCUCAAGGGACCGGAAGAUUCACCCGGUACAGAGAGAGAUCUAGUCGACAGAGGGGAAAAUACAUGUAUUUAAUAUAGGAAGAGCCCAAUAAAUCCCCUGCGAGCCGAUUAUUGAAAUUGAUAGACAAAGCUAUAGACAGAGAUGACAAAAGGGAUAUGCAGGGAACCUAUUGGUGGAAGCUGGUGGUUGCAAUGGACAAAGGCAGUAGGUAUUAGACUAACUGACGGCAACCCACGAGAGACCUGACAGCUAGUCCAUCAUUUUCUCCCUUAGUCCAUAAGAACCAGACAUUUCAACCAACAGGAUCGCUCCAUACCCCCUAUGUCUUCUUUGUCUAUAGCUAUGUCCAUCAAUUUCAAUAAUCAGUCCGCAGGAGAGUUUUCGGUAGUGGAGAGGACCGCUACAAAAAGAGAGCACUGUACUUCCAGAAUUGAAUUUUUGUCAAAUUUGAUCGAAGGUUUAAUCCUGGUAUUCUUUGUAACUGAAUGUACCCACAAGAUUAAGUUACAAAGACCGUUUUAUUUGUAAAUUUUCAACUGUACAGUUUUGUAAUUCUCUGUUUUGUAAUUAAUUUUAAGCAUGUCUAUAAUUUUUUUUACAAUAAAAAUAAAAAAGAACACUCGUGAAAACCGGUUUUAUUUAAAUGUUCUUCACCUCAACUCAAAAUUUUUAAGACUACCAGUGAACUUUGUCUCCUUUAGGUUUUUUUCCCUAGAUGGAAAAACAUUCAAAAUUCUCUUCAACCUCAGCAAAAAAUGCAAAUGAUGAAAGACCAAAGGCAGAGACCAUCUUCUUUCCUGUUAUCCUCUGCCAAAAUGAGUAGCAACACUACGUACGAGGAGAAUCUUAAAGUUAAUUUUUUCAACCGACUCAACAAUUGGGCAACAAUUUAGGCAAACAAUGGACUUGCCUCCAUGGACUGAAGUCCCUUUCCUGUGUAUGGUCUUUUAUUUGGUGGAAAAAAAACCAUAUACCUCUCGAUAGCUGUUUCAAAAUUUCAGUUUUCAUUCUAAUUUGGACCGCGUUAAACAGAAAGGAACCAAGUCACAACAGUUAUUGCCUUUCAUUGGGCAAUUUCAUUUCUUACAUGAAAACGUUGUGCGGAUUUUCGAGCAAAUUUCAGUAAAUUUUCU
Molecule: long non-coding RNA, 4201 nt
Filed under: Bemisia tabaci
Lineage: Eukaryota; Metazoa; Arthropoda; Insecta; Hemiptera; Aleyrodidae
Description: lncRNA ENSSSA3NGG001394
Source: RNAcentral